AGAGUUUGAUCCUGGCUCAGGACGAACGCUGGCGGUGUGCUUCACACAUGCAAGUCGAGCGAAUGAAGUAGGUAGCUUGCUACUUAUGGAUUUAGCGGCGGACGGGUGAGUAAUAUAUAGGAAUCUGCCUUAGAGCGGGGAACAACAGACCGAAAGGUUUGCUAAUGCCCCAUAGGUAUGCAGUCUUCGGAUUGUAUAUUAAAGGAGUAAUCCACUCUAAGAUGAGCCUGUAUCCGAUUAGCUAGUUGGCGGGGUAAAGGCCCACCAAGGCUACGAUCGGUAGUUGGUCUGAGAGGAUGAUCAGCCACAAUGGGACUGAGACACGGCCCAUACUCCUACGGGAGGCAGCAGUGGGGAAUUUUACACAAUGGGGGAAACCCUGAUGUAGCGACACCGCGUGAACGAAGAAGCCUUUUGGGGUGUAAAGUUCUGUCGGCUGGAACGAAAAAAAUGACGGUACCAGCAAAGGAAGCAUCGGCUAACUACGUGCCAGCAGCCGCGGUAAGACGUAGGAUGCAAGCGUUGUCCGGAUUUAUUGGGCGUAAAGAGUUCGUAGGCGGUUAUUUAAGUCUGGUGUUAAAUACUGUGGCCCAACCACAGAACUGCAUUAGAUACUGGAUGACUUGAGUGCGGUAGAGGCGAGUGGAAUUCCCAGUGUAGCGGUGAAAUGCGUAGA
RNAcentral lists this ribosomal RNA (676 nucleotides) under uncultured bacterium. RNAcentral's name for it is "bacterial SSU rRNA". It matches the Rfam family "Bacterial small subunit ribosomal RNA", at positions 8 to 694 of the family's 1533-position model. The record is from RNAcentral.